UCCGUGCCAGCAGCCGCGGUAAUACGGAGGAUCCGAGCGUUAUCCGGAAUCAUUGGGCUUUAAAGGUUCCGCAGGUGGACCAUUAAGUCAGGGGUGAAAGUCUGCCGCUCAACCGUAGAACUGCCCUUGAUACUGGUGGACUUGAGUCGUUGUGAAGUGGUUGGAAUAUGUGGUGCAGCGGUGAAAUGCAUAGAUAUCACAUACAACACCGAUUGCGAAGGCAGAUCACUAACAACGUACUGCCACUGAUGGACGAAAGCGUGGGGAGCGAAC
RNAcentral lists this ribosomal RNA (273 nucleotides) under uncultured Flavobacterium sp. Its description in RNAcentral is "partial 16S ribosomal RNA". It matches the Rfam family "Bacterial small subunit ribosomal RNA", at positions 502 to 773 of the family's 1533-position model. Lineage: Bacteria; Pseudomonadati; Bacteroidota; Flavobacteriia; Flavobacteriales; Flavobacteriaceae. The record is from RNAcentral.